This 301-nucleotide ribosomal RNA is filed under the name uncultured bacterium. RNAcentral describes it as "partial 16S ribosomal RNA". It matches the Rfam family "Bacterial small subunit ribosomal RNA", at positions 509 to 809 of the family's 1533-position model. The record is from RNAcentral.
CAGCCGCCACGGGAAUACGUAGGGUGCGAGCGUUAAUCGGAAUUACUGGGCGUAAAGCGUGCGCAGGCGGUUUUGUAAGACAGAGGUGAAAUCCCCGGGCUCAACCUGGGAACUGCCUUUGUGACUGCAAGGCUAGAGUACGGCAGAGGGGGAUGGAAUUCCGCGUGUAGCAGUGAAAUGAGUAGAUAUGCGGAGGAACACCGAUGGCGAAGGCAAUCCCCUGGGCCUGUACUGACGCUCAUGCACGAAAGCGUGGGGAGCAAACAGGAUUAGAUACCCCCGUAGUCCCUGUCUCUUAUAA